UACAGAGGGUGCAAGCGUUGUUCGGAAUUAUUGGGCGUAAAGCGCGUGUAGGCGGCUUUGCAAGUCGGGUGUGAAAGCCCUCAGCUCAACUGAGGAAGUGCGCCCGAAACUGCAGAGCUUGAGUGCCGGAGAGGGUGGCGGAAUUCCCCAAGUAGAGGUGGAAUUCGUAGAUAUGGGGAGGAACACCGGUGGCGAAGGCGGCCACCUGGACGGUAACUGACGCUGAGACGCGAAAGCGUGGGGAGCAAACAGG
This 253-nucleotide ribosomal RNA is filed under the name uncultured bacterium. RNAcentral's name for it is "partial 16S ribosomal RNA". It matches the Rfam family "Bacterial small subunit ribosomal RNA", at positions 524 to 776 of the family's 1533-position model. The record is from RNAcentral.